GUCCCCGUAGUUCAAUGGAUAAAACAACUCCCUUCUAAGGAGUAGGUGCAGGUCCGAUUCCUGCCGGGGACACAA
RNAcentral lists this transfer RNA (75 nucleotides) under Candidatus Staskawiczbacteria bacterium RIFCSPHIGHO2_02_FULL_34_9. Its description in RNAcentral is "tRNA-Arg". It matches the Rfam family "tRNA". From Rfam's summary of the family: Transfer RNA (tRNA) molecules are approximately 80 nucleotides in length. The record is from RNAcentral. Lineage: Bacteria; Candidatus Staskawicziibacteriota.